UACGAAGGGGACUAGCGUUGUUCGGAAUCACUGGGCGUAAAGCGCACGUAGGCGGAUGUGUCAGUCAGGGGUGAAAUCCCGGGGCUCAACCUCGGAACUGCCUUUGAUACAGCACGUCUCGAGUCCGGAAGAGGUGGGUGGAAUUCCUAGUGUAGAGGUGAAAUGCGCAGAUAUCAGGAAGAACACCGAUGGCGAAGGCAGCUCUCUGGGACGGUACUGACGCUGAGACGCGAAAGCGUGGGGAGCGAACAGG
This 253-nucleotide ribosomal RNA is filed under the name uncultured bacterium. Its description in RNAcentral is "partial 16S ribosomal RNA". It matches the Rfam family "Bacterial small subunit ribosomal RNA", at positions 524 to 776 of the family's 1533-position model. The record is from RNAcentral.